Molecule: ribosomal RNA, 849 nt
Filed under: uncultured Pseudomonadota bacterium
Lineage: Bacteria; Pseudomonadati; Pseudomonadota
Description: bacterial SSU rRNA
Rfam family: Bacterial small subunit ribosomal RNA
Source: RNAcentral
CAAGUCGCACGAAGAAAAGGGGCAACCCUGAGUAGAGUGGCGCACGGGUGCGUAACACGUAGGCAAUCUUCCCUCAGGAGGGGGAUAACCGUCCGAAAGGAUGGCUAAUACCGCGUAAGACCACGGCUGCUUCGGCAGCUGCGGUCAAAGGGGGCCUCUCCAUGGAAGCUUCCACCUGAGGUCGAGCCUGCGGCCCAUCAGCUAGUUGGUAAGGUAAUGGCUUACCAAGGCUAAGACGGGUAGCUGGUCUGAGAGGAUGAUCAGCCACACUGGCACUGAAACACGGGCCAGACUCCUACGGGAGGCAGCAGUGGGGAAUAUUGGACAAUGGGCGAAAGCCUGAUCCAGCGACGCCGCGUGGGUGAUGAAGGCCUUCGGGUUGUAAAGCCCUGUGGGCAGGGAAGAAAACGGUUAGCGCUAAUAUCGCUAGCCCUUGACGGUACCUGCUCAGAAAGCACCGGCUAACUCUGUGCCAGCAGCCGCGGUAAGACAGAGGGUGCAAACGUUGCUCGGAAUUACUGGGCGUAAAGCGCGUGUAGGCGGGUCGGUAUGUCGGACGUGAAAUCCCUAGGCUCAACCUAGGAACUGCGCUCGAAACUGCCGGUCUUGAGUGGUGGAGAGGGAAGUGGAAUUCCUGGUGUAGAGGUGAAAUUCGUAGAUAUCAGGAGGAACACCAGUGGCGAAGGCGGCUUCCUGGACACCAACUGACGCUGAGACGCGAAAGCGUGGGGAGCAAACAGGAUUAGAUACCCUGGUAGUCCACGCUGUAAACGAUGGGCACUAGGUGUCGCGGGUUUUGACCCCCGCGGUGCCGUAGCAAACGCGUUAAGUGCCCCGCCUGGGGAGUAC